Molecule: ribosomal RNA, 253 nt
Filed under: uncultured bacterium
Lineage: Bacteria
Description: partial 16S ribosomal RNA
Rfam family: Bacterial small subunit ribosomal RNA
Source: RNAcentral
UACGUAGGGUGCAAGCGUUGUCCGGAAUUAUUGGGCGUAAAGAGCUCGUAGGCGGUCUGUCACGUCGGCUGUGAAAACCCGGGGCUCAACCCCGGGCCUGCAGUCGAUACGGGCAGACUAGAGUGCGGUAGGGGAGACUGGAAUUCCUGGUGUAGCGGUGAAAUGCGCAGAUAUCAGGAGGAACACCGGUGGCGAAGGCGGAUCUCUGGGCCAUUACUGACGCUGAGGAGCGAAAGCGUGGGGAGCGAACAGG